RNAcentral lists this ribosomal RNA (228 nucleotides) under uncultured bacterium. Its description in RNAcentral is "partial 16S ribosomal RNA". It matches the Rfam family "Bacterial small subunit ribosomal RNA", at positions 568 to 795 of the family's 1533-position model. The record is from RNAcentral.
UGCGCAGGCGGAUUUAUAAGUCAGUGGUGAAAUCCUACAGCUUAACUGUAGAACUGCCAUUGAUACUGUAGAUCUUGAGUACAUUUGAGGUAGGCGGAAUGUGUGGUGUAGCGGUGAAAUGCUUAGAUAUCACACAGAACACCGAUUGCGAAGGCAGCUUACUAAACUGUAACUGACGCUGAGGCACGAAAGCGUGGGGAGCGAACAGGAUUAGAUACCCUGGUAGUC